UGAGUUGCUGCUCCAUUCCUUCGCUAUAACAUAGAUGGCGUUGCGGAUGGCUUCUUCCAGUGACUGACUGUAACUUCGUUAGAUACAAGUUACAAGUUCGGCGCACGCAAGUGCGGGUGUGUGUCCGUAAAAGCCGGGGGAGGGGGCCAUGGACGUUGUAUUGGCAUUGAUGCGGGUACACGGGAGGUCAUCAGAAGGGCCUUGCUGUAGAUUUUAGCGGGUAGUCUUCCUAGGAAAUUGUACAUGUGGAUCAGAGCCUGCCGGAUGUUCACACCCAGCUGGGAAGCCAGGUCCUGACGGCAGCGGUCAGCAUAGGCAUGGGCAGUUCUCCAUGCUACUGCCUGCAGCGGAUACGACGGUGCAGUAAUGCGGCCUUGAAUGCGGGCCAGUCUUGGACAAGGGCCUCGAUUCCAGCUUACCAGCAGUUAACCUCAUCUCCCAAUUGAUAAGCAGCAAACAUCAAGCAAUGCAGCCGCCUCCCAACCAUGCAGGUGGCUGAAGUGCUCAAUACGUCCCAUCCAUCGCCUUGCACUGCUGCCGAGCUGGAAGACAGGAACAGAGUUGGACUGGAAGGAUGUGGAUGAGCCAUGAUGACGUGUUGAAGUGUAAUCUGAGAUAGUACGAAGGUGAAGAGGCAUGAAGUACAGUGUACGGAAGCGGCAACGUAGCAUGGUAGUACCGUAGUACGGUAAAGUGUCCGAAGUACGGCGUACAGUUGCGGUGAUGUCGUACCGUAGUACUGUUAUAUGGUACUUGAGUAUGGCUAAUAGAGCUCUGUAACUUGGUCUCAAUACCUAGCUGCGCGGGCGGCCGCCCGCCAGGAUGUAAUCCAGACAUUUUGCGUGCAGGGACUGCUUACUGCGCGGCCACUACCUCGACCCUUAGACAUUUGGAUACGGAGAUAUAUAUUUUAAUGAUGAAUACCGAGAGCAUCGAGAUUCGUUCGAAUGCAGCGGAAGGUAUUUUAGCAGUGUAACGUUGAGCGGCGUCCAGCCCAGGCUUUGGAUCGAGAAGAGGUAGAUACAAGACCUCGUUUGUUGCAGUUGUCGGUUUACGGGCAGUCAAAACUCAGUUUGAGAACCCUUCGAGUUGGUUGUCCGUAUCCGCGAAUUGAUUCCCUUCAGGGAGGGUAGGACACCAGGUCGGGAAGAGCAAUUCUUUGGGCUGCCCCGGUCGCACAAUUCCUGUGCUUCCCUAAUUCGACAACCCGAACAGGCCAAUGCUGACUGUCGGAAUGUCCCUGCCAGGCCCAUUCAUGUCCCUUUCAGGCCACUUCAAGGGCCUGUCCCGGCAAUAUAACUUGUCCCGGGUGUAGCCCCCGUGCCAAUUUAAACCCUUGUACCGAGCAAUUUCGACCAAUUGCGGGGUCGGCCCGGAAACUCUCAGGCAGGCGUCCAGGAUCGCGGGAGUUGAAGGAACUUUACGAAACUCUGUAAGGGGAGCACUCACAAGUACCUCUCGUGCGUACUGCAUCGGUAUCGAUUCCGGUACAUGGGGCAGGAAGUGGCAGGAACCCUACACGCCUGGUUACUGUACUCCAUACUCCGUACUCAUUCAUUCAUACAUUCAUUGUGUGUGUGUGUGCAACGAAAAGGUACCACCACCCGAACCUACCCGAACCAGAGGUUUGUGUGCAUGGCGAGCCGCCCACGAUAUAACACCCCUUUCAUCCCAUCCAUUCAUUCAUUCAUUCAUAUAUUCAUUCAUCCAAAUAUUCUCACAGAUGAAGAGAUGUAAACACGUGCCUUGCCCUGCACUGUGGUGUGGCCCGGCACAGUGUAACACCCCAUUCAUUCAGUAUAAGGAGGUCUCCUUUCGGGUGCUUUUG
This 1828-nucleotide long non-coding RNA is filed under the name Volvox carteri. RNAcentral's name for it is "long non-coding RNA (VCAR_LNC000271)". Lineage: Eukaryota; Viridiplantae; Chlorophyta; Chlorophyceae; Chlamydomonadales; Volvocaceae. The record is from RNAcentral.